This 157-nucleotide non-coding RNA is filed under the name human gut metagenome. The record is from RNAcentral.
AGAGGUGCCUGUGUUCUCCGCAGGAUAACAGGGAAAAGGGUGCAAAUCCCUUACGGUCCCGCCGCUGUAUUGGCUAAGCGGUCUUACAGAUGCCACUGGGAAACCGGGAAGGCGUAGGAGAGCUGGGAAGCCUGAGUCAGAAGACCUGCCCUUCAUU